CCUACGGGUGACAGCAGUGAGGAAUAUUGGUCAAUGGACGAGAGUCUGAACCAGCCAAGUAGCGUGAAGGAUGACUGCCCUAUGGGUUGUAAACUUCUUUUAUAUGGGAAUAAAAUGUGCCACGUGUGGCAUUUUGUAUGUACCAUAUGAAUAAGGAUCGGCUAACUCCGUGCCAGCAGCCGCGGUAAUACGGAGGAUCCGAGCGUUAUCCGGAUUUAUUGGGUUUAAAGGGAGCGUAGAUGGGUUGUUAAGUCAGUUGUGAAAGUUUGCGGCUCAACCGUAAAAUUGCAGUUGAAACUGGCAGUCUUGAGUACAGUAGAGGUGGGCGGAAUUCGUGGUGUAGCGGUGAAAUGCUUAGAUAUCACGAAGAACCCCGAUUGCGAAGGCAGUUUACUAGACUGUAACUGACAUUGAGGCUCGAAAGUGUGGGUAUCAAACAGGAUUAGAUACCCGUGUAGUC
Molecule: ribosomal RNA, 460 nt
Filed under: uncultured bacterium
Lineage: Bacteria
Description: partial 16S ribosomal RNA
Rfam family: Bacterial small subunit ribosomal RNA
Source: RNAcentral